RNAcentral lists this transfer RNA (75 nucleotides) under Symploca sp. SIO2C1. RNAcentral's name for it is "tRNA-Pro". It matches the Rfam family "tRNA". From Rfam's summary of the family: Transfer RNA (tRNA) molecules are approximately 80 nucleotides in length. Lineage: Bacteria; Bacillati; Cyanobacteriota; Cyanophyceae; Coleofasciculales; Coleofasciculaceae. The record is from RNAcentral.
CGGGAUGUAAUUCAGUGGUCAGAAGAGGGAUACUUUGGGAGUAUGGAGCCGCAGGUUCGAGUCCUGCCAUCCCGA